GCAGCGGACUUCGGUCCAAUGCUUUGUGAAGCUUAGUGGCGAACGGGUGAGUAACAGGUAGACAACUUGCCUCAAUGACUGGGAUAACAUCGGGAAACUGGUGCUAAUACCGGAUAGGAUAUAGAUUCGCAUGAAUUUAUAUUUAAAGAUGGUUCUGCCAUCACAUUGAGAGAGGUCUGCUUCGUAUUAGCUUGUUGGUGAGGUAAUGGCUCACCAAGGCGAUGAUGCGUAGCCGAGCUGAGAGGCUGAUCGGCCACACUGGAACUGAGACACGGUCCAGACUCCUACGGGAGGCAGCAGUUAGGGAUAUUCGGCAAUGGACGAAAGUCUGACCGAGCAAUGCCGCGUGAAUGAAGAAGUAUUUCGAUAUGUAAAGUUCUGUUGUAAGGAAAGAAUGAUAGUGAUAGGAAAUGAUCAUUAUUUGACGGUACCUUACCAGUAAGCCCCGGCUAACUACGUGCCAGCAGCCGCGGUAAUACGUAGGGGGCGAGCGUUAUCCGGAAUUAUUGGGCGUAAAGGGUGCGUAGGUGGCCUUACAAGUCUGAGUUGAAAGCCCACGGCUUAACCGUGGAGGGUGCUCGGAAACUGUAAGGCUUGAAUCCAGAAGAGGCAAGUGGAAUUCUAUGUGGAGCGGUGGAAUGCGUAGAUAUAUGGAGGAACACCAGUGGCGAAGGCGGCUUGCUGGUCUGGGAUUGACACU
RNAcentral lists this ribosomal RNA (700 nucleotides) under uncultured bacterium. Its description in RNAcentral is "bacterial SSU rRNA". It matches the Rfam family "Bacterial small subunit ribosomal RNA", at positions 70 to 747 of the family's 1533-position model. The record is from RNAcentral.